UACGUAGGGGGCAAGCGUUAUCCGGAUUUACUGGGUGUAAAGGGAGCGUAGACGGCAAAGCAAGUCCGGAGUGAAAGCCCGGGGCCCAACCCCGGGACUGCUCUGGAAACUGUUAAGCUGGAGUGCGGGAGGGGCAGGCGGAAUUCCUGGUGUAGCGGUGAAAUGCGUAGAUAUCAGGAGGAACACCAGUGGCGAAGGCGGCUUACUGGACUGUAACUGACGUUGAGGCUCGAAAGCGUGGGGAGCAAACAGG
Molecule: ribosomal RNA, 253 nt
Filed under: uncultured bacterium
Lineage: Bacteria
Description: partial 16S ribosomal RNA
Rfam family: Bacterial small subunit ribosomal RNA
Source: RNAcentral